Molecule: long non-coding RNA, 567 nt
Organism: Hemicordylus capensis (graceful crag lizard)
Lineage: Eukaryota; Metazoa; Chordata; Lepidosauria; Squamata; Cordylidae
Exons: 3
Source: RefSeq, a predicted model, not a curated record
GAAAAAAGAAUGCUUAUGUUUAAAUUCCAAAUAAGUUUGGCAAAUCAUACUCCUAACUGUCAGAACAGCAGAAGAACCAUACUUAAGCAAAGAACAGGUAUCUUCAAAACGCAAGUAAAAGUGUUAGUUUUUCAGCUUAAGGUCUAGAGAAAAGAAUCCUACUGAAGAAUGAAGACCCUGAAGAAAUAAAACUUUCUUCUCAGGCACUUCUGCUGAGCAUUGUUCUAUUCUGGAUGGACUUUUCUGCACCCUAGUAAACUUUUGGAAUUGCACAUUACAACAGUCUGUAAAGGUUAAUGAUACUCUAAAGUUCUGUCACUGAAUGAUCUUAAUGUAAUUACUUUAUUCCAACAUGCAGAUACCCAUGCCUGCUACUACUUAUUAUCAUUGUAUUUUUAUUGGGUUUUGCUCAUUGGUUGUUAUUGCUGUCUUGUCCAUAAUUAUAGUUCUAUUUUGGACUUAACAACAUCACAUUGAAAAGUUAUAGAAAGACAGAUUUCAAUAUACUGAGAGUAUAAGAAGCGUGAAUCCAGUGGGAAAAUGUGAAAUUAAAACAGUAUUCCAUCA